This is a transfer RNA of Termitomyces sp. J132, 86 nucleotides long. It matches the Rfam family "tRNA". Rfam says of the family: Transfer RNA (tRNA) molecules are approximately 80 nucleotides in length. Their secondary structure includes four short double-helical elements and three loops (D, anti-codon, and T loops). The record is from Rfam. NCBI's taxonomy places the organism in Eukaryota, Fungi, Basidiomycota, Agaricomycetes, Agaricales, Lyophyllaceae.
GUCUUGGUAGCUCAGUGGUAGAGCAUGCGAUUGCAGUCAUUAUACCAAUUAUCGCAGGGUCCGGUGUUCGAACCACCGUCAGGACU